Non-coding RNA from Lentinula aciculospora, 88 nucleotides. NCBI's taxonomy places the organism in Eukaryota, Fungi, Basidiomycota, Agaricomycetes, Agaricales, Omphalotaceae. The record is from the annotation of a GenBank genome assembly.
GGGCACAUGGUGUAGUUGGUUAUCACAUCCGCUUAGCAUAAUAUUUAUUGCCUGCGGGGGGUGCUGGGUUCAAUUCCCAGUGUGUCCA